Molecule: ribosomal RNA, 429 nt
Filed under: Gemmatimonadota bacterium
Lineage: Bacteria; Pseudomonadati; Gemmatimonadota
Description: Gemmatimonadetes bacterium partial 16S ribosomal RNA
Rfam family: Bacterial small subunit ribosomal RNA
Source: RNAcentral
UAGGGAAUCUUCGGCAAUGGACGAAAGUCUGACCGAGCAACGCCGCGUGAGUGAAGAAGGUUGUCGGAUCGUAAAACUCUGUUGUUAGAGAAGAACAAGGACGUUAGUAACUGAACGUCCCCUGACGGUAUCUAACCAGAAAGCCACGGCUAACUACGUGCCAGCAGCCGCGGUAAUACGUAGGUGGCAAGCGUUGUCCGGAUUUAUUGGGCGUAAAGCGAGCGCAGGCGGGUUCUUAAGUCUAAUGUGAAAGCCCCCGGCUCAACCGGGGAGGGUCAUUGGAAACUGGGAGACUUGACUACAGAAGGGGAGAGUGGAAUUCCAUGUGUAGCGGUGAAAUGCGAAGAUAUAUGGAGGAACACCAGUGGCGAAGGCGGAUCUCUGGUCUGUAACUGACGCUGAGGCUCAAAAGCGUGGGGAGCAAACAGG